This 477-nucleotide ribosomal RNA is filed under the name Candida albicans. Its description in RNAcentral is "LSU rRNA". It matches the Rfam family "Eukaryotic large subunit ribosomal RNA", at positions 121 to 608 of the family's 3401-position model. The record is from RNAcentral. Lineage: Eukaryota; Fungi; Ascomycota; Pichiomycetes; Serinales; Debaryomycetaceae.
UCUGGCGUCUUUGGCGUCCGAGUUGUAAUUUGAAGAAGGUAUCUUUGGGCCCGGCUCUUGUCUAUGUUCCUUGGAACAGGACGUCACAGAGGGUGAGAAUCCCGUGCGAUGAGAUGACCCGGGUCUGUGUAAAGUUCCUUCGACGAGUCGAGUUGUUUGGGAAUGCAGCUCUAAGUGGGUGGUAAAUUCCAUCUAAAGCUAAAUAUUGGCGAGAGACCGAUAGCGAACAAGUACAGUGAUGGAAAGAUGAAAAGAACUUUGAAAAGAGAGUGAAAAAGUACGUGAAAUUGUUGAAAGGGAAGGGCUUGAGAUCAGACUUGGUAUUUUGCAUGCUGCUCUCUCGGGGGCGGCCGCUGCGGUUUACCGGGCCAGCAUCGGUUUGGAGCGGCAGGAUAAUGGCGGAGGAAUGUGGCACGGCUUCUGCUGUGUGUUAUAGCCUCUGACGAUACUGCCAGCCUAGACCGAGGACUGCGGUUU